AGUGACGAUAGCCUAGGAGAUACACCUGUACCCAUGCCGAACACAGAAGUUAAGCCCUAGAACGCCGGAAGUAGUUGGGGGUUGCCCCCUGUGAGAUAGGGAAGUCGCUUGGCU
This 114-nucleotide ribosomal RNA is filed under the name Streptococcus pneumoniae. Lineage: Bacteria; Bacillati; Bacillota; Bacilli; Lactobacillales; Streptococcaceae. The record is from RNAcentral.